This 254-nucleotide ribosomal RNA is filed under the name uncultured bacterium. RNAcentral's name for it is "partial 16S ribosomal RNA". It matches the Rfam family "Bacterial small subunit ribosomal RNA", at positions 524 to 776 of the family's 1533-position model. The record is from RNAcentral.
UACGUAGGGGGCGAGCGUUGUCCGGAAUCAUUGGGCGUAAAGAGCUCGUAGGCGGUUCAGUAAGUCAGGUGUGAAAGCUCCGAGCUCAACUCGGAGAGGCCACCUGAUACUGCUGUGACUAGAAUCCAGUAGGGGAGUGUGGAACUCCUGGUGUAGCGGUGAAAUGCGCAGAUAUCAGGAGGAACACCGGUGGCGAAGGCGGAUCUCUGGGCCAUUACUGACGCUGAGGAGCGAAAGCGUGGGGAGCGAACAGG